GAGAUCGUGGUGAAGUGGAUAACACGUCAGGCUGUGAACCUGAUAUCUGCUCGGUUCGAUUCCGGCCGAUCUCCCCA
RNAcentral lists this transfer RNA (77 nucleotides) under Paenibacillus plantiphilus. Its description in RNAcentral is "Paenibacillus sp. JJ-246 tRNA-His". It matches the Rfam family "tRNA". Rfam says of the family: Transfer RNA (tRNA) molecules are approximately 80 nucleotides in length. The record is from RNAcentral. Lineage: Bacteria; Bacillati; Bacillota; Bacilli; Caryophanales; Paenibacillaceae.